UGGAGAUGAAGCUUGUUUCAAGCCAUACCUGAGAUGAAUUUGCAGUCUACUGACAGAACUGGAAACUAAACAAUGUUUGCCUCCACAGCAGGACUGCCAGUAUAUUGAAAAUCCACAUCCAGAAAAUGAAUCCUCUCCUCUUAAGCUACAAAAUGUCCAUCUGAAUUGAAAGGAACAGAGUAGGGCAUAAAGAGAGAUCUUUAUGUCACUUAAGUAACAGCCUUAUGCAAC
Molecule: long non-coding RNA, 231 nt
Filed under: Gallus gallus (chicken)
Lineage: Eukaryota; Metazoa; Chordata; Aves; Galliformes; Phasianidae
Source: RNAcentral